UCCAGACUCCUACGGGAGGCAGCAGUGGGGAAUAUUGCACAAUGGGGGAAACCCUGAUGCAGCGACGCCGCGUGAGUGAAGAAGUAUUUCGGUAUGUAAAGCUCUAUCAGCAGGGAAGAAAAUGACGGUACCUGAUUAAGAAGCCCCGGCUAACUACGUGCCAGCAGCCGCGGUAAUACGUAGGGGGCAAGCGUUAUCCGGAUUUACUGGGUGUAAAGGGAGCGUAGACGGCAGCACAAGUCUGGAGUGAAACCCCGGGGCUCAACCCCGGGACUGCAUUGGAAACUGGCGGGCUGGAGUGUCGGAGGGGCAGGCGGAAUUCCUGGUGUAGCGGUGAAAUGCGUAGAUAUCAGGAGGAACACCGGUGGCGAAGGCGGCCUGCUGGACGACAACUGACGCUGAGGCUCGAAAGCGUGGGGAGCAAACAGGAUUAGAUACCCGAGUA
This 445-nucleotide ribosomal RNA is filed under the name uncultured bacterium. RNAcentral's name for it is "bacterial SSU rRNA". It matches the Rfam family "Bacterial small subunit ribosomal RNA", at positions 330 to 792 of the family's 1533-position model. The record is from RNAcentral.